Cinara cedri is the source of this 800-nucleotide non-coding RNA. The record is from the annotation of a GenBank genome assembly. Lineage: Eukaryota; Metazoa; Arthropoda; Insecta; Hemiptera; Aphididae.
UAAUUACCCUCCUUAAUAAUGGUUAAUAAAGUGUAACCCUCUUUAAAUUUAGAGGAGGUUUUAAUAGUAAUGUGUUGAGAUAAUGCUAUGUUAGGUGAAAAUUCUAAAGUUGAUAGUGAAAAGAAAGAAAAAAAACUCAGUUGGUCUAUCGUGUUUGCGUGGCUGUAUCUGCAUACAUUUGGCAAGAUAUUACCAAAAAAGUGGAACAAGUGGGCAGAGAAUAUUGUUGAACCUUAUGAAGUUACUAAUAGUGAUGACAUAACAGAAUCUGGAGGUGAUCAGGAUGUUACCUUGGAUUCAGAAUCACAGACAAAAAUCAAGGCAGAAGUUAUUAAUAGUAACGAGGUAAGACAACCUGGGGAUGGUCAGAGUUUUAGCUUGGAUCCACAAUUGCAAACAGAAACCGAUGUAGAAAUUACUAAUAGUGAUAACCCUGAAGGUGAUGAGGUAAAAAUAGGUGAUAGCCGUGACUCUGGUAUAAAUGAGGAUGAGGAUGAGCUUCGUUAUGAGGAUGAUUUUAACAUUCAGUUGUUACUAAAACAAAUCACUCAAGGGCUAGAAGAAGAGGUAGCACAAUUAGAAUUAGAAAUAGAACUCGAAAUUUUAAAAGAAGCUUUUAGUGAUGCAGCACAAGAAGUGAUAGCAUUAAGAGAAGAGAACGAGCAACUUAAGCAUAAUCUCGCAAAAAUCAAUGAAUUAGAUACUCGAAAUACAACAGAAGGUACACUAGAACAACCUAGUACUUCUAUGACGAAUAUUGAAAAAAAUAGUCAUCGUGCAAACUUACUUCAGAGUUUUAG